GACGAACGCUGGCGGCGUGCUUAACACAUGCAAGUCGAACGGAAAGGCCCUGCUUUUGUGGGGUGCUCGAGUGGCGAACGGGUGAGUAACACGUGAGUAACCUGCCCUUGACUUUGGGAUAACUUCAGGAAACUGGGGCUAAUACCGGAUAGGAGCUCCUGCUGCAUGGUGGGGGUUGGAAAGUUUCGGCGGUUGGGGAUGGACUCGCGGCUUAGCAGCUUGUUGGUGGGGUAGUGGCUUACCAAGGCUUUGACGGGUAGCCGGCCUGAGAGGGUGACCGGCCACAUUGGGACUGAGAUACGGCCCAGACGCCUACGGGAGGCAGCAGUGGGGAAUAUUGCACAAUGGGCGGAAGCCUGAUGCAGCAACGCCGCGUGCGGGAUGACGGCCUUCGGGUUGUAAACCGCUUUCGCCUGUGACGAAGCGUGAGUGACGGUAAUGGGUAAAGAAGCACCGGCUAACUACGU
Molecule: ribosomal RNA, 467 nt
Filed under: uncultured bacterium
Lineage: Bacteria
Description: partial 16S ribosomal RNA
Rfam family: Bacterial small subunit ribosomal RNA
Source: RNAcentral